Molecule: long non-coding RNA, 1089 nt
Filed under: Pogona vitticeps (central bearded dragon)
Lineage: Eukaryota; Metazoa; Chordata; Lepidosauria; Squamata; Agamidae
Description: lncRNA (ENSPVIG00000006512.1)
Source: RNAcentral
UUUAAGUACACUGUGGGAGCAAAAGAUUUCCCCAACUCUAUUGCAAGACAGCUAUAUUCCAAGCAGACGAAGAGACCAAUCAGAGAGCAGCAGCAUCUAAACAGGAAGAACUCUGGAGGGUUUUACAUCAUAAAUGACGGGGGUUGAAACAUCUGAAAGAAGGUGCCGCUGCAGGGACACAAAGAAGAAUGGAGAAGAGAAACUGACUGGCUGAAGGGCGAGAAACCAAAAAAAACACACACGAUUGAACAAUUGAACCAUCUCCUCCAUUCUCAAACAGAAUGUGGAAGGAAAAGCUGCCGACACUGAGAAGAUAAAAUGGCACGCAAAAAAGCCAAAGGAGCAGGCAAGAAAAAAGAUGCCAAGGAGAAGCCUGAUGAUGCCAAGGAGAAGCCUGAUGAUGCCAAGCCUGCAGGGGAUGAAGGAGAAAAAAUUAUAAGUGAAAAAACACCCUUGGAAAAAAUAAUGAAUUUUUUUCAAACUCCACUGGGUCUAUUUCUGGCCAUAGUAAUCACCAUCUUCCUUGUUUUCUUGGCAGUACAAGCUGUCAUUAUGUGUCUGAAUGAGUGGGAAAAAACAGCUGACCUACGACAUGCAAUGCAGCUCGUUAAGACAUUUAUGAUGAGAAAAGAUUCAAGCUAUGAAGAUAAGGAUGUCAAAAUUCGUUACAAAUUGAAUCAUGACUGGAUGGCCCAUAAAGAUGCAAUCUAUUUAUUUGUUGUUCAACCACAGAACUGGACUGAAUCAAGAAAAUUUUGUAUGAGACAGAAUGCUAAACUGCUUCGGGUUGAAAAUGCUGAGGAGGAGGAGUUCAUAGAAGGAAUAGCCUAUGGAAAGCACAACUCUUAUUGGAUUGGAGCAAUUAAGGAAUCUAACAAAUGGAUAUGGUUGGAUGACAAGACAGAAGUGAAGCUAUUAUACUGGGCUGAAAAGAGCCCGAGAAAAGAAGAUACGACACCAGACCAGCCAUUUUGUAUGAGGUUAAAGAAUGACUGCACCAUACCAAGAAAAUGUUGGACUGAUAUUAGAUGCAAUUAUUGGGCACGGUCAAUCUGUAAGAUUAAGCCUCUGAAAAAAUGGAUGAACUGA